UAUAGAGAUUCAUAUAAGUGAUCAGUUGGAUGAGGCUUCUUGUGAUGGUUGUCUUGAGAAUCUACCUUCUUCUAGUGCACCACAUAUAAAUAUUGAUAAUAUUGAUUCUCAUAUUGAAAUGGAGUCUAAUUCAAUAACUAAUAUGUAUAAUUUCUACAAUGCUUAUGUGAGAAGAACUAGUUUUGAAAUCACAACCAUGUGCGAUAGGUCCCAUAACAAAAAAGAAACAUGCUUCAAACAUCAAACAUAUUGGAGGGAAGAAAGAUCGGGAUGUCACUUUUCAUUACCACUGCAGAACCGAUGGUGGACCAAAAGACCUUCCUAGCUUAUAGGAUAAAUGGUUUAUGAUAAGAAAAAGAGCAUAAAAGGAAUAAGGAAGGAGAGGGCC
Molecule: long non-coding RNA, 388 nt
Filed under: Elaeis guineensis (African oil palm)
Lineage: Eukaryota; Viridiplantae; Streptophyta; Magnoliopsida; Arecales; Arecaceae
Description: long non-coding RNA (EGUI_LNC005861)
Source: RNAcentral